UACGGGGGGAGCAAGCGUUGUUCGGAUUUACUGGGCGUAAAGGGCGCGUAGGCGGUCGUGACAAGUCACUUGUGAAAUCUCCGGGCUUAACUCGGAACGGUCAAGUGAUACUGUCGGACUAGAGUACAGAAGGGGCAACUGGAAUUCUCGGUGUAGCGGUGAAAUGCGUAGAUAUCGAGAGGAACACCGGUGGCGAAGGCGGCUCCUGGCCGAGUACUGACGCUGAGGCACGAAAGCCGUGGGGGAGCG
Molecule: ribosomal RNA, 249 nt
Filed under: uncultured bacterium
Lineage: Bacteria
Description: partial 16S ribosomal RNA
Rfam family: Bacterial small subunit ribosomal RNA
Source: RNAcentral